AUUGAACGCUGGCGGCAUGCCUUACACAUGCAAGUCGAACGGCAGCACGGGUGCUUGCACCUGGUGGCGAGUGGCGAACGGGUGAGUAAUACAUCGGAACGUACCUUAUCGUGGGGGAUAACGCGGCGAAAGUUGCGCUAAUACCGCAUACGCCCUGAGGGGGAAAGCGGGGGACCGUAAGGCCUCGCGCGAUUAGAGCGGCCGAUGUCUGAUUAGCUUGUUGGUGAGGUAAAAGCUCACCAAGGCGAUGAUCAGUAGCUGGUCUGAGAGGACGAUCAGCCACACUGGGACUGAGACACGGCCCAGACUCCUACGGGAGGCAGCAGUGGGGAAUUUUGGACAAUGGGGACAACCCUGAUCCAGCAAUGCCGCGUGAGUGAAGAAGGCCUUCGGGUUGUAAAGCUCUUUUGUCAGGGAAGAAACAGCAGCUCUAACACAGUCUGCGAAUGACGGUACCUGAAGAAUAAGCACCGGCUAACUACGUGCCAGCCGCCGCGGUAA
This 501-nucleotide ribosomal RNA is filed under the name uncultured bacterium. RNAcentral describes it as "partial 16S ribosomal RNA". It matches the Rfam family "Bacterial small subunit ribosomal RNA", at positions 30 to 523 of the family's 1533-position model. The record is from RNAcentral.